AAUAUUGUACAAAGGGCGCACGCCUGCCCCAGCCAUGCUGCGUGCGUGAUGAAGGCCCUAGGGUUGUAAAGCUCUUUCACCGGUGACGAUAAUGACGCUAACCGGAGAAGAAGCGCCGGCUAACUUCGUCCCACUGCCCGCGGUAAUACGAAGGGGGCUAGCGUUGUUCGGAAUUACUGGGCGUAAAGCGCACGUAGGCGGACAUUUAAGUCAGGGGUGAAAUCCCAGGGCUCAACCCCGGAACUGCCUUUGAUACUGGAUGUCUGGAGUAUGGAAGAGGUGAGUGGAAUGCCGAGUGUAGAGGUGAAAUUCGUAGAUAUUCGGAGGAACACCAGUGGCGAAGGCGGCUCACUGGUCCAUUACUGACGCUGAGGUGCGAAAGCGUGGGGAGCAAACAGG
RNAcentral lists this ribosomal RNA (399 nucleotides) under uncultured bacterium. Its description in RNAcentral is "partial 16S ribosomal RNA". It matches the Rfam family "Bacterial small subunit ribosomal RNA", at positions 360 to 776 of the family's 1533-position model. The record is from RNAcentral.